Cucurbita maxima (winter squash) is the source of this 1065-nucleotide long non-coding RNA. RefSeq lists it as uncharacterized. The transcript is spliced from 4 exons. Lineage: Eukaryota; Viridiplantae; Streptophyta; Magnoliopsida; Cucurbitales; Cucurbitaceae. The record is from RefSeq and is a predicted model, not a curated record.
CGCGGUGAGAGGCGAUAUGUGAGAUUCUCCUCUCCCCACGAUGAACAGGUCGUGAGCAUCAUCCAUUGAUCUUAUGCCUGCUACUGUCUCCUCGCCGUUGUUCGAGACUUUCUCGUUCGAUGAAUCGCAUUACGAUUAAGCUUACUCGCGGAUUUUCUGACAUUCUCCAUGCGUAUGAUAGGGCUUCUCUAUCGUCUUGUCCCCCGAAGAACAACAUUGUUAUGUUAUAGUGACAUUCCUUGUUCGAUGCGACUCGAUUCGAGCCGUUUAAGCCUCGAUCCACUAGGAUUCCGACGGAACAAGGGGCAUUGGCUAACACAUUUUGGUUGACCAAUCUAAACGCUGGAUUUGUGGCUUCCAUUCCUCCAUCCACUGUUUGUUGCUUGUGGAAUGGGAUGAUUAUGAAGGCCACACGUUUAUCCUCGGCUAAAUUGCAGAUGUCUUCGUGCAUUGUGGAGUAGGGGGAAAUGGCUGUGAGCGGCUGAACAGAGAUGCAUUCGACGUGUUGCUCGUAGUUCUCGAAUGCAUUGAUGAUAUGAUCUGAUUGAGCUUGGGUUCGAUUUAGGGCAGGGCGACCUGAUUUUCUGGUGUUGUGGACAAUGAGCAUGGCAGAGGCUCGGCCUGUGAGUUCGACCAAGUGUAGAACGUAAAUGCAAAUUGGGGAUCUUUUGGUUGGGUUUGAGGCAUCAAGGAGGUUAAUGAUCGUUGGCACAUUUCGAGAUUAUGGUAACUACAGGCGUUAUUAUCCCAGUCAUAAACAGGGCUACAAUCACCAUAACUGUGAACGUUUUAUCAUCCAACACCUGCAUAUUAUGUUUACAUUGAUACUUUGGUGAGAAUGGCCUGAAAAGAGGAAAAGGAAAAACAACCCAACUUCUUCUAUCUGCAGAGCAUUCCAGGUUCUUGAUGAAACUUUGGAAGCUGUACGAGGAAGAACGUGAAACUUUUGAAAGAAAAUGAACCAAUGAACUGUAAAUGCUUAGAGUUUCAUUGGUUUGCUGUCUCUGUUACCAGCGAGGACCCAGCUUAUCUGAUUGGGUAAGAAGAAAACAGAACAAGAAAUAU